AGGGAACAAUGGAUUUCAUUAAUGGAAAUCAACACAAUUAAAUAUAACAUAUUUGUUUGUUCAGAUCCCAUCCUUAGAAGUGAUUUCUUAUAUAAGGAAGAUAAUAUUAUCAGUAGCCAGACUUAAACAGAUUAAAAAAAUCAGCUCUACCUCAAAGGAUUUCUGAUGCACUGGUUAAAAACACAGCAGCUGAUAAUUCAGUUAAUUUACCAAGUGAUUUACCCUUCAAAGCUGCAGGGGUAGCUUUCCUGAAGAGUGCAAAAACUUCUUUAGCUUCCAAAAUGGUAUAUAGUACAAACAGUGAAGCUGAUAUAGACGAAUCUGAUCAUUCAUCAUCAACAAUAACUGAGAUUAAUAGUUCUACAGUAACCGUGGGGUGUAGGUCAACAAUUACUAUUUCUCAUCCAAGCCGUUUUUGUUUAACUGCUACAUAUUCCCUGACUCUGCCAAGGAAAAGGGUAAAAUCAAAAUGAUAUCCUGAGGACCUAAGCACUGAUGAUUCCACCGUUUCAAAAGCUAAAUCUAAGCUUGCGCCUAGUGGGUUUAAAUGGACAGUAUUAUACUUUCGCAGAUGACACAGUGCUUCUUUAUACUGGAAAAACAUCAGAAGAAACCGCAAAUUUGGCCAAUAAUGAUUUAAAAAUUUAUCAUGAGUGGUUGCUACAAAAUAACCUAAAAAUUAAUACAAACAAAACAAAAUAUAUAUUGUUUAAACAAAAAAAUAAAGUAAUAACAGAUAUAGAUAUAAAAAUUAAUAAUGAAAGUUUAGAAAAAGUUGAUAGCAUAAAAUAUUUAGGACUCUUUUUGGAUGAGCAACUAAGUUGGAAUGAACAUAUUAAACACAUUAAUAGCAAAAUAAUAUCAUUGAUCGGAGCACUUAAUAAAUGUAAAUAUUUCUUAACUGACAAUGCUAGGUAUAAAAUUUAUUAUGCGUUCUUUCUUUCAGUGGUCAGAUAUCAAAUACCAGUAUGGGGAACAUGUUAUAACACAAAUUUGAUUAAAAUAGAAACUCUGCAAAGAAAAACCUUAAAAAUUUUAUUUAAUAUUGAUUAUUUGACUCCAACAAAGAUUCUUUAUCAAUCCUUAUCUGUUCAACCAAUAGUAUAUUUAUUAAAUUUGGAACAAUGUAAAUUAAUAUAUAAGAUAAUAAAUCUUAAAUAUAAAUCUAAUACAGAAAUAAAGUAUGUUAAUGAAAUUCAUAACCAUAAUUUGAGGAAUUGUUCAAAUAUACGUUUGGACAAUGCUAGAACAGAUAAGGCACUGAAAAGCCCACUGGCUGCAGCUACACAGGUUUAUAACAGAUUACCAUCAGAACUAAAGAAUUUAAAAUCGUACAAUUUGUUUGUAAAAAGAUUAAAAUUAUUCCGUGUUAAUUGGGACUAUGUAUAACUAUUUUUAAACAUUUAAAUUGUGUUGGAUAGGGUUUUUUUUUGUUUUUUUUUUUAAGCUUAAGAGAGUAUAUGUUUUGUUAUUUUUAUUUUUGAUUGAAAUUAUGGGCGUCAUCUCCGGUACCAAUACUAUAAGUAUUGCUUAGGAGAUUACCUUAAUUCGGAUUUUAUAUUAUAGUUUACUGUAUAUUGUUACCUAUUAUAACUUGUUAAUUGUUUUGAUUUCUGAAUAAAGGAUUUACAGAAA
This 1635-nucleotide long non-coding RNA is filed under the name Anthonomus grandis grandis. RNAcentral's name for it is "uncharacterized LOC126741157". Lineage: Eukaryota; Metazoa; Arthropoda; Insecta; Coleoptera; Curculionidae. The record is from RNAcentral.